Molecule: long non-coding RNA, 1045 nt
Organism: Vombatus ursinus (common wombat)
Lineage: Eukaryota; Metazoa; Chordata; Mammalia; Diprotodontia; Vombatidae
Exons: 2
Source: RefSeq, a predicted model, not a curated record
GUGACUGACAGACGGGCUGCCGGCCUCCUUCGGGCUCUCCACCCCGUCCUGGAGGGGACCCGGCGACCGGUUACACUUGGCCUUGCUGACCGGGGAGGGGAGGCGGAGCACAAGGCACCCCCACCCCCAAUCUCCUUUUCCCCAAACCCCACGUUGCGCUUUUUGGCAGCUCACUGUAGGGCUUUGUAAAGCCAACUUCCUGGCACCGGCCGCCUCCCCCAACCCUGUCCCCAGCCUCCCCCCUCCGUACCUCCCCCAUCCCAGCCGCCGCCUGGGCGCAACCGCUGCCAGGCCCAGCGCUUUGCAGCAGCCUCGGCUGUUUUGUGCCCAAGCCCGAGAGAACAAAAAACACCCACCAAAAAACCAAGCUCAGAUCCUGAAGAUGACUUUUCUCCUCUCCAAACACGUCUCGUUUUUUUCCUUUCCGACGGAGAAAGCUUGAAGUCCAUACUGAUGGACUGGACCCAUUUACGAAUUUGACCCAACUUUACCCAAGAGACAGAAGUCCCAGCCGGACAACUGGAAAGGACGGGUUCGGGUGUCCUCUUACUUGUUCUGCCAGUGGCCUGAUUUCUCAGCUUGAUCCCGUGGAGGAGAGAAGGCACGCUGUGCUCUGUACAGAUAUCAGCCCAAAAGGAUAGCUUCUACUCCACUGCUACGGACCAAAGGCUGUGUGGCAGGCUGCUGGUUGGGUUCGGUUGGGUUUUUCCCCUUUGCUAUGCAAUAUUUAUAGAGGGGAAUGAGGCCACAUGAGAAGGGAAAGGUUGAAGGGGCCCCAGAGUCCCAGACAAUCGCAGAGCUCCUUUCCCUCUUCCCUCGAUGUCCCCAAAGCUCCUCUAGGGGAUCUUGCUGUGUUGCCCAAUGUUUGACUUGAAAAUGCAGGGUAGUAAAAGGCACUCUUUUUUGCUUCCUUCUGUUCAAACAGUCCUGCUCCUCUGCACACACACAGGUAAAAGCUUUCCCUGAAAUUCAGGCACGCGUUCAUUUCUCAAAUAUUGUUUAUAUGUAUAUACAUAUAUAUGUAAUAAAUGAAUGAAUGCCCAAA